GGCCACCACGUCCUCUGAACUGGCCAUUUCUUCCUCCAAAAUUAGGGUUAGAGUUAGGAAACUAAUUGUUUCCGGUGCCAUCAGUAUAAUUGUGGUUUUGAGAAUUAGGACCAUGAGAUUGGGAUUCUGAAUUUGCAGUUUCAGUGAGAUUAACUGAAACAGGUUCACUGAUAGCAGCUUUCUUGAACUUCUCAUUUCUAGAUUCUUGUGUGAGAAGCUGAGAUUCAAGUUCAUCUAAAGAAACAACCUCAGAUUUCGCAUUCACACUAGCAACAAUAGGGUCAAACUCUUCAGGAACAAGAGACUCUGAAAUUGCGCGAAUUCGAGCAAUGAAUUCAACGACAGUGCGUGAACCUUUCGUAAUGGAUCUAAGUUCAGAUCGAAGUUGACGCGGACGCGUCUUCAUCUGCGUGAAGCAGUAACUAUGGAUCUCAUCCCAAACCUGCCAUGAGUGGCGAAGGAGAACGAAUCGCGAAAGUAGCGAAGGCGAAAUCGUUGAAAGAAUCCAGGUGCAGAGCAAUGAAUCUUGUUCUUCCCAUUUAG
RNAcentral lists this long non-coding RNA (543 nucleotides) under Medicago truncatula (barrel medic). RNAcentral describes it as "lncRNA gene44487". Lineage: Eukaryota; Viridiplantae; Streptophyta; Magnoliopsida; Fabales; Fabaceae. The record is from RNAcentral.